CGGACGGUGAGUAAUGUCUGGGAAACUGCCCGAUGGAGGGGGAUAACUACUGGAAACGGUAGCUAAUACCGCAUAACGUCGCAAGACCAAAGAGGGGGACCUUCGGGCCUCUUGCCAUCGGAUGUGCCCAGAUGGGAUUAGCUAGUAGGUGGGGUAACGGCUCACCUAGGCGACGAUCCCUAGCUGGUCUGAGAGGAUGACCAGCCACACUGGAACUGAGACACGGUCCAG
This 231-nucleotide ribosomal RNA is filed under the name uncultured bacterium. RNAcentral's name for it is "partial 16S ribosomal RNA". It matches the Rfam family "Bacterial small subunit ribosomal RNA", at positions 105 to 334 of the family's 1533-position model. The record is from RNAcentral.